Molecule: long non-coding RNA, 3796 nt
Organism: Mustela lutreola (European mink)
Lineage: Eukaryota; Metazoa; Chordata; Mammalia; Carnivora; Mustelidae
Exons: 3
Source: RefSeq, a predicted model, not a curated record
UCGGUACAAUGAAGAACGGUGUAAAAUGGCAUUAUUCAACUUAGAAAAGUCUCCGCCGGAGGUUGGCCUCUGGGCAGAAUGACCCAGCAGAACUUAAAGCGGAGAGGAAGCAAGCCUCUGCACGGAAACCUUCCGGCCGGGAAGCCCCCUCGAAUCCAGAUACCCAGACCUUCAGGAGGCCGCUCUAGACCGGACCUUCUCAAGCCUGAGAUCAGAGCUCUCUCCGUGCUCCAGAUUCCAAGGUGACGUAGCCACAGAUAUCUGCUGAAUCUGUCUCCAGGACCCCACAAGAAUCUGUUGGCCUGCACACCAAGAGUGGUUCUAGAGCAGAAGGGAGAUACAGCAGUGUUAAUAUGGCAGGAUUGAAACAAUCUCAGAGUGUUGUCCACAGCCAGAUGGUUUGGGAAGAAGCAGAACAUUUUCUAUAUCCGUGGAGAACAGAUUAGACAUGGUAUAGGGAAGAGGGGACCCGAGGAGUUUUCAAGAUGGGACCAAGAGGGUGCAGCAGAAGGCCGGGUGACCCUCUGACCAUGGGUCAAACAGGACCAAGGGCUUCCCAGUAUGACAGGAUCAAGGAGACCAGAUUGUUCACAGCAUACAUUCCUCCCCAAAUUCAGAUCAAUACCAAGGAGGUGGGAAGACCCUCAAAUUGACUGAAAUCAGAUUUCUAACUUCAAGAAGAAUGGGAGCUUGACGAUGAAAUGAACUUCACAUAUAUGCCAAAUAAUAUUCUCCUUCUUUGCAAAGGAAUAAAAAUCAUACCCAGUACAGGAACAACGUCACUGAUAAAGACUUGCUGUUUGCCCUACAUUGUGAACAAGCGUAAAUGCAAAGAGGAAGUAGGCUCUGUAGUCAGGCAAUCUUCAUUGCCACCAUCCUCAACCAAGCCACGGUCAUCCCUUACCUGAACACCAAUAAUCACCUCCUUAGGAUUCUCUCACCUAAAUUCUUGCUUUCCUCCAAUCUCAACUUUCCACACCAAAAUAGGAGUGAUCUUUUUGGUAUGCAAACCUGAUCCUAUCACUCUUCUGCUUAGAACCCCAAUAGCUUUUCUUCAUUUUUAGAAUGAAGUCCUUAUCCAUUUACCGGGGUCUUUGAGGCCCUGCACUGUCUUGCCAGUUACCCCUGGGGCACCUCGCCUUCAUUCUUCUGCACUGGACCUCUCCUGGCUCCUCUGGGGUGCUAAUUUACAGGCCUCCCUCUGCCUGGAAUGUGCCUCCUGGGUCCCCUGCACAUAUCCUCGAUCCUUCAGUUCCUGGCUCCAAGGCCACUCCUCCCCGCUUCUUCCUUCGCCCCAGUCAGUCUGGGGGCUCCUCGAGCCACUCACAUUUGCUCCCUGCCCCUUUACCUCAUUGUGCUUGACCCUCACUGUUCUCCAUGAGGGCAGGGCCAGGGUCUUUUACCCUCCAUACCCAGGGCACUUGCUAUGCCCCAAAUGGAGCAGUCUGGCACAAAAAGGAUUGCAAGAAAUGCUGGGUGAAGGAAAGGAGUCCAGAAAGCGAAUUCGCACCAACGCAUUAACAAAGUGUUCAGGUGCUGGCCUAGAGCAUAUUCUGAUAAAUUUAAAGCAGCCUGUCUAUCCUGGAAAAGCUUGAACUCUUGACAUAUUGCUUAGGGAGACACGUCUGAGCCCCUGACACUUCCAGGCUGCUGUUCGCUAGGAGGAAAGGCAGGCGACCUUCUACUAUUAACUCUGAAUCCCUAGGUGCUUGUCCACCUGCUUCUCUAACCUGCCUCCCCUCCCACGGUGCUCAGCCCACAGGGGUUUUCUGUUCCUGAAACCCACUAAGUUCUCGCCAUACCCAGGUCCUCGAGUGCCCUCUGCGGGGUGCUCCCUUCUCCCCCACCUUGCUUGUCAGGAAGUGAGCUCCUUGACAGCACCAGUGCAGUUUCUGUCCGGCUCUGCUGGCCCCUGUCGCUGUGCGCAGUCCCCUCAGCGCUCUGUCUCCGCAGGGGCGUUGGACUCCAGGUGGUGAUUUUACGCAUUUGUAUAUUUACUUCCUUCAACUCGUGUUCUCUACUACGCUGUGAGUGAAGGCGGGGAGCACGUGGACCUUGCUUCCUACGUCCUGCCAGGAUCUAGCCCAGGUCCUCCGGCAUAGUAUUUGGGCAAAUACUCAGCAAAGGAAGACAGCAGCCUAUAAGAGGGAAUAGAAACAGAGAGGAGCCAGGAGACCCGUCUCUGUGGACCGGCAAAGAAGCUUUGGAAGCCCCACAACCCGAGAUGGCACCACCCUCUGUGUCUCCAUCAACUCCUGAGCUGUUCCAGGGAGGGUAUCAGUAUCGCGGGCUCAGAGAGCAAGAGAGGCCCCCAGUCUUUGUUAGCUGACGCCUCUGGUCUGAAGCAAGUUCAUGUGAAAGAGGAACAUGUUAGUCUUUGAGGUAACAAAUCUAGGAAAUGGACACUAUGCCUUUCCUCACCCACCGCCUGCCUGGUUUUGCAGAUCUGGGGUGCGUGUCUGGACCACCUUAGUCUGAGUACAGCAGGUAAUACUGAAUCAGAAAAAUACCUUUUAUAAGGAAAUGACCUGUGUGUUGAGUUGAUAGUCGUGAAAUGGAAAGAGAAAGAAAGAAUUCCAUUUUGCUUCUGCUUUUAGAAUAUAUAGAAUGAAAAAUGCUCUCAGUUCUACCUUAAUCCCCAGAGGGGAGCAGAGGAGUUAUCAAAGCCCGGGUCUCAGCCCACAUCAUCAGGCUCUUCCCUUCCGAGUCUGCUUUGAGGUCUGUCGAGAAUCCCCAUGGCUUGCUUCCAUUUCGCUUCUCUCCAGGUUCCGGCCUUUGGAACCAUGAGGCAAGUCACAGGAAGAAGAAUGGAGUAAAACCAAAAUGAGGAAAGAAAAAUUAGUUUGUAUGCUUCCUUUUUAAAAAGUAGAUAGAAUGAGAGUUUUGAACAGGAUCAUGUGAUCCCCACCAGAGUUUCCUGGGAGAGGCAGAUUCCAGAAGCCGGGGGCCAGGUCUCUCUUUUGUUGUCUCUGCUUUCCAGCUUCCCUCCCCUUCCCUGUCCUCUCUCAGAGCUUCUGUGCGUGGCUCUGCCUAUCUGCUCAGUCAUCUUCUCUCUGCCAACCAACUUCCCUGCCCUUUAUUUCCCAGGGCAUAGACUUUACCUCCUCAUAACAUCAGCUUUUGUAUGAAUUUUCUAAUCUGUUUGGCAUCCAGCACCCUUCACUUCAGCUCCACUGCUCACUCACUCCCUCUUCCCGCUUCCUGUUCCUAAUUCCUAGGAGAGCUCUCUGAGAUGCCCAUCCUUUCCGGACAGGCUGUAUAAGCCACAGGCUAGUCUGUCUCAAAAUUGGUGGCAUUUAGGCCAGUUGUCCAUCACCCAUCAGCAGUGGCAAUUAGUAUUAAAUGUGUCUGCCUGGGCUGCAAGGAUGGAUGGUGGUGGGAAGUUCCUCUUAAAGAGCAUGUGGGUGGACACGCCCCAUAAAGCAGUACAGGACAGGCAGGGGAAGCGAGUUAAAAUGAGCACACUGCCUGCAGCCACACUUUCACGGUAACUUCAGUGUCCAUGUCACUGACCUCCUUCUGCAUUAAAUGGUGAUCAGUGUCUUUAUGGUCCUUCCAUAGACUCCAAGAUAGAUGCUUUUGGUAUUAUGGCUGAGCAGUCUUAUGAAGAUGGGUAGGGGGACAUCUGUUGUUUUACCCUCUGAGAACAUAAAGAGAUGAAAAUAAUGAUCUGCUACACAGAAGAGAGCCCAGGGCCUUUUCCCUAAGGCAGACCUGGGUCAUUUGCCACGUGUACCAAGUGUGACCAGUCUCCAAACAAGCUUUCUCAUCUGCAAACAUAGGUAGCACAGUACAG